RNAcentral lists this non-coding RNA (22 nucleotides) under Arabidopsis thaliana (thale cress). Lineage: Eukaryota; Viridiplantae; Streptophyta; Magnoliopsida; Brassicales; Brassicaceae. The record is from RNAcentral.
UUGUCUUACGUGAAGUUCAAGA